Molecule: RNA transcript, 1490 nt
Organism: Juglans regia (Persian walnut)
Lineage: Eukaryota; Viridiplantae; Streptophyta; Magnoliopsida; Fagales; Juglandaceae
Gene name: 5-formyltetrahydrofolate cyclo-ligase, mitochondrial-like
Exons: 7
Source: RefSeq, a predicted model, not a curated record
AUGAGGCUAAUCCGACAAGUGAAGCAACGCGUAUUGGCAGCGCUGAUGAACCAACCCUGCACCAGACCAGCACCAGCACCAGCACCAGCACCAAAGACGCUUCUCUCUCGCCCACCCUCGUACGCGCCUCCAUCCACCGUUACCUUCUCGACGAUGAACAAGAACACAGAACAAGAACAUCUGGACUCCGUGUACAAGCAAAAACGAGCGCUCCGAUCCAGGGUCCGCAAGGCCCUCAAGGCUAUGGAGCCCGACCUCAGAUCCCAAGAAGACAAUGUCAUUCAGAGUAUUAUUUUGGAAUCUCCAUGGUUUAAAUCUAGUAGGAGAUUGUGUGCCUAUAUAAGCUGCAGUGCUUUGCGGGAAGUUGACACAUCAAAAUUGUUGUCUGAAACUCUGUCAAAUCCAACUGAAGAGAGGAAAAAUACUUUAUGUUCCACGUGUGGAGGACAAGAAUUGUCACAUGCGCAUGCUGAGAAUCUCAUGUAUUGAUGAUCUUGUUCCAAAUUCAAUGGACAUCUUAGAACCAGUUCCAGUGGAUAGUGAUGGAAACGAACGUGAAGAUGUUAUGCUUGCAAAUGAGCCAGUUGAUUUGUUCCUCUUGCCUGGACUAGCAUUUGACAGAUCUGGAAGGCGCCUGGGUCGUGGUGGAGGGUAUAGUUAUGAAUCCUGGCCUAUCAUUUAAACUUUUAUUAGCCUAUGAAAUUGCGGGUGCUGAGGGUAGGUGAUAUCAUGUGCUCAUUUAGAUAUAAAAUCUCUAUUUUAAGCUCCUAAAGUAUCAGUAUUCAUUCAGACUCCAGAUGCAUUUAUUUGUUGGUAUGGUGUAGCCUCCGAAAUAAUUGGUGAACCAACUUCUGGAACUGCUAUUGUAUAGGAAAUCUCUUUCUCUCUCUCCCAUGCAUUUUAAAGGAAUUUAACUACUUUUAGUCCUGGAUGAAAUUUGACCUUUUAUUCUUAUAGGCCAAUUACAAUUUACAUGUUAAAGUCAUGCAUAACUAAUGUUGCUUUGUUUGAUGAAAAUCAAUAGUUAUUAUGAUACCUUCCUGAAGAAAUACCAAGAGCUUGCAAAGGCAAGGGAUUGGAAGCAACCCCUCCAUGUUGCGCUGUCAUAUUCUGUUCAGAUAAUGGAUGAAGGAGUUAUAGCAGUCACUCCAAAUGACAUUCCUGUGGAUGCUCUCGUAUCCCCAGUCGGUGUGAUUCCUGUUAGCCAAGCUGCCUUAGACAGGAUGAAGCUUUGACUUGCACUUGGAAGUUGGAAACCAAACCAGUUGAUUGCUUUCUUCGAUAAUGGGAUCUUCAUCCUUCAUGAAAUUGGAGUUUGGUUAUGUCAUAAGCUGUUCAAGAAUUGUAUGGUCUCGAUUGUUUGAAAUAAUACGAUUAUACUAUAAAAGGAUUGGGAUUUUAUGUCAUGAGUGGUUAUAUAUAACCAACAUACUCGGGAUUUUAGAAUUGCCAUUCAAGCUUUAUUCCUUAAUAAAUCAGUUUCAUUAAAA